UACUAAACUAUUUUAGGCUUACAGUUGGCUCGUAUUAUGUCAUAUUAAAAUAUAUACGUAUUGUAUACGUACUUACUCCAUGGUAGUCCUUCUGACUUUCUUCUUUAAAAGUUUUGUUCCUUUAAUUUUGUAUAUUAGAAAUUGACAACAUUGGAAAGAGGAGGGAAAUGUCAGACCCCGAACAUUUAAUUAAACAAUUUCGACAUCACGUCAGCUCAGAAAACCGAUGGUUGGGAACGAAGAUGGCUGCUCAUUACAUCAUCUUAAAAUGAUGAUGAUGAUGACGAUGAAGAGGACGCCAAAGGGAACAACCACUGUGUUGAAAUUGAUACCAGGAUUCUGAGGUUCAGGCGGUAAGACUGUUCAGAUAAAAAAAA
This is a long non-coding RNA of Cynoglossus semilaevis (tongue sole), 377 nucleotides long. RefSeq lists it as uncharacterized. NCBI's taxonomy places the organism in Eukaryota, Metazoa, Chordata, Actinopteri, Pleuronectiformes, Cynoglossidae. The transcript is spliced from 3 exons. The record is from RefSeq and is a predicted model, not a curated record.